UACGGAGGGUGCAAGCGUUAUCCGGAUUCACUGGGUUUAAAGGGUGCGUAGGCGGGCAGGUAAGUCAGUGGUGAAAUCUCCGAGCUUAACUCGGAAACUGCCGUUGAUUACUAUUUGUCUUGAAUAUUGUGGAGGUAAGCGGGAAUAUGUCAUGUAGCGGUGAAAUGCUUAGAUAUGACAUAGAACACCAAUUGCGAAGGCAGCUUACUACACAACGAUUGACGCUGGAGGCACGAAAGCGUGGGGAUCAAAACAGG
Molecule: ribosomal RNA, 257 nt
Filed under: uncultured bacterium
Lineage: Bacteria
Description: partial 16S ribosomal RNA
Rfam family: Bacterial small subunit ribosomal RNA
Source: RNAcentral